UACGAAGGGGGCUAGCGUUGUUCGGAAUUACUGGGCGUAAAGCGCGCGUAGGCGGGCAUUUAAGUCAGGGGUGAAAUCCCGAGGCUCAACCUCGGAACUGCCUUUGAUACUGGGUGCCUUGAGUACGGGAGAGGUGAGUGGAAUUGCGAGUGUAGAGGUGAAAUUCGUAGAUAUUCGCAAGAACACCAGUGGCGAAGGCGGCUCACUGGCCCGUAACUGACGCUGAGGUGCGAAAGCGUGGGGAGCAAACAGG
RNAcentral lists this ribosomal RNA (253 nucleotides) under uncultured bacterium. RNAcentral describes it as "partial 16S ribosomal RNA". It matches the Rfam family "Bacterial small subunit ribosomal RNA", at positions 524 to 776 of the family's 1533-position model. The record is from RNAcentral.